RNAcentral lists this transfer RNA (70 nucleotides) under Deltaproteobacteria bacterium. Its description in RNAcentral is "tRNA-Gly". The record is from RNAcentral. Lineage: Bacteria; Pseudomonadati; Myxococcota; Myxococcia.
GCGGAAUUCCUGGUUGAAUGGCGGCUUGCCAAGGCGAAGGUCGCCGGUUCGAACCCGGUGUUCCGCUCCA